GCAGAUAUGGUCGAGUGCCUUAAGGCAAUGGUCUUAAGUUACACACUUUUAUCACCAUUAUCGAGACAUUCGUGGGUUCGAUUCCACUGUCUGCA
This is a non-coding RNA of Coniochaeta sp. PMI_546, 95 nucleotides long. Lineage: Eukaryota; Fungi; Ascomycota; Sordariomycetes; Coniochaetales; Coniochaetaceae. The record is from the annotation of a GenBank genome assembly.